This 99-nucleotide small nuclear RNA is filed under the name Zalophus californianus (California sea lion). The record is from RNAcentral. Lineage: Eukaryota; Metazoa; Chordata; Mammalia; Carnivora; Otariidae.
GCUCGCUUUGGCAGCACAUACUAAAAUCCGAUAGAUACAGAGAUUAGCAUGUCUCCUGUGCAAGGAUGAAAGCAAAUUUGUGAAGCAUUCCAUAUUUAA